This is a long non-coding RNA of Peromyscus leucopus (white-footed mouse), 3107 nucleotides long. RefSeq lists it as uncharacterized. The record is from RefSeq and is a predicted model, not a curated record. The transcript has 3 exons. Lineage: Eukaryota; Metazoa; Chordata; Mammalia; Rodentia; Cricetidae.
AUGAUAAGCAAGUGCCUGCUCCAGGGACUGUCCCCAGAAUGCUGUCACCGUUGAUUAGCUCUAGCAAACAAGACUAAGAGCAACACCCCAAAUCCUCUGUGUUUGUUGCUCAGUGGCCAGGCAUUUGCUCCCCCCCUGUGAAGUGAUGGGACCCCAGGACCCCACUCCCCAUGCCUGCCCAGCCAGCAACUCCGACUCCGAGUUCAGGACAUUUCUGUGGGAAGACCCAGCCGAUUUACCCCAAUCCCACAUCCACUGGAGAUGAUCCAAUCUGUUUUAAGGGCCAAGUUCCACACCUCAAUAAAAAAAAAAAAAAAAAAACUGCAGGCUCCGGGAAGUAGUUCAACUUCUUAAAAAAACAGCUUGUGUGUGGUUGAAAUGUUUUAUUUUAAUCAUAGCAAUUAGAUGUUCUUGUUUUGCACAACAGUCUCCAACAGAAUCGCCUUCAGCACAGGACACCUAGUAACAUCGUGCAAACCGGCUGCUCGGCUCCGCACACUUUGGAGAACGCCAGUAUAAAAACUGAAAGUUGUCUUCCUAUAUCCAGUGGGCUGCUGGGUAAGAAGGAAAUGGAACUCGGUUGCUAUAAACCAAAGGGCAGAUACUCGAGGGAUGCAGACAUCCGGGAAGCAGGUGCUUGGUUCAACGUCGAGUCUAGACCUUUCUAACAAUUGGAACAGUAUCGUAGGUAAUGAGCAAGUUUCUGGGGACUUAUUAAAUCAGAAAUGGAAUGCUGUCGGGGACACUAGAGGAUAUCCUUGCUCUGUGUAGGCAGCUCUCUGACUGCCUGUGGCACGCACAUUCACACGCAAUGGAGAGGCGCCUCCGCCAACAGCUUCCUUUACAAAGAAUCUCCACGUUCUACAUCUUUUCUGAGGCCUAUAUCCAUCCCUUCUAUGCUUACCCUUCAUACAUUCCUAACAUCUGUAAGCCAAGCACUUUUCUUCUUCCGGGAUGUCAGUCCUUUAACAGGAAUGACCCAGGCUCUCAUCUAGGUCUUUUUAUAGUCUAGUCAUUCUAGAUCUUUCCCUGACCUUUGGGGGGGGGGCUUACCAACUUCGAAUGUUACCCCAAAGCUUGUGACCCCCCUUGGCAGAGAAGAAAGGGUGCAGAAGAAUCUAGAUUGUGAGACUUGUAGUAUUUGACAAAACCAUAUUGUCAGGUAUUGGAGACCCGGGCCCUAACGUACUCCAACAUGGUUCAAAUCCCAUGCCUCUCCUGGACUCUAUGACCUGGAGACAGCUUCCAAACCCUGAAUGAACUUUAUUUCCCCUUGUAAAAAAUAAGACUGGAAUGGCAAUCCUUACAUCUCCCUGUUUGGAACAAAUGAAGAGUGACGAAAGGGACACAAGGGACCCCCCAGCCUUCCUGCCCCCGAGUGGCAGACACUCAAUAAAAGUCAGUGUCGUGGGUGAUUGUGUUUGUCCCCAUCCACACAGUAGCAAACUUCCAAGGAACUUCAGACUUCUUCAGAAAGCCACUAAUCCAUAUGCCAAGAGGUCAGGCCCCAGUGGGAGGGGUGAGCAGGGGAUGGCCUGGCUCUCUAGUACCUUCCUUCCUUCGAGAGAACACACUAGGGCAGAGAAACUAGAAGAAAAAUACAUUAAAGGACAACAGCCCUUCCUCCUUCAGGGUGGAAAGUGUCUGUCCGGGCUUGGGGACAAGUUGACCUGACCCUUGACUCAGGUAAGCCUGUAGCCUCAACCCCAGUCCCUAACCCUCCUUGGCUGUAAAAGAAAAAGUUGCUGGUGGUUACCUUGAGCGGUGCCUUUGGAGCCGCAAAGGCGGAUCGUCCAGGAAUGCUACCUAUUCACACCACUUAGCAAAGGAAAGCCUUACAUACCAAAACACUUCACGUGUGUGCCGGCAUGGGCACCGGCGUACACACCAGCGUGUGCAGCAGCGUGUGCACAGGUGCUCCGAGAUCACAUUGACUGGCGUCUGCUCUUAGGCCUUGCUCCUCUAGUAAAGACUUCAACCCCAGAAUUGUCCGGGAGGAGACAUGCUGAUGAUUGACUCAGAAGGGGGACAAAACGGUGCCUCCCAGUCCUGGGUCCACUGGCCAUGGCUUGUUUGCUGAUGCUGGGUGUGACUCCCACUCCUAGCCCCCGCUUCACCCUCCCCAAUCUUUCACUUGAGGAUCUCUGAGCUCUGUGUCUCUGGGGAAAGUGUCUCUGAUCUAUUUUUGCCCGGGUUUGCGCGCUCUCCGCAUGGAUUAUCAUCUGGCUGGCUCCGGUUUCUAUUAGUGCUUUUGUUUGAUUCUGUUCUGUUUCGCUACAUGAGCUCUACCGUCCAUGGCAGCCAGCCCUUCUUGGGUGAUGGGAGUGUUGGUAACGGUAUCAGCAUUUGUCACAGUUUCUGCAGAGGAUGCUUGUCCCCUCACGCCCAGCCUACCCUACCCCUAAUACUCCUCGCCACUUGGGCACAAGCAGACGCCUUCCGCCUCACUACAUGACUCUGUAAGUGGAGUCUGGUUUUCACAUUAGCCAAGAGGAGGCCCUGAAGUCAGAAAUCCUUGGCCUGUGAGUCACUUUGUUUCUUUGUGCCUCAUUUCCCCCAACUAUAAAUAGCCCGAGUCCCACACUUUCUCAUCUCCCAGUAUCCUAGGGACUGGGACAGGUGCUUUUGUACCAACUGGGAGCUCCUUCCCAGGAGCCAUUUCUCGUCUGCCCAGGUGGGCUCUCUCUCAAAGAUCAUGGCCCUUGGGGGUCUCUAAACAUCAGUGUUUCUCUGUCCCUACUUUCUUGGCAUCUGCCUCUUUCAUUGUACGUGUGUGAAGUUUCUGAAAUGCAGAAGCCGGGCUCUGCAGAAGGCGCUCUCUCUGUCUCCUAUUGUCUUCAGAGCGAAGUCCUCAGCAGUGUCUAGGACAUGGUUGACUCAUCCUUGAUAUGCUAAGAACUGUUUGCUGAAUGACUGGGCCAGCAACUGCAUACUGAAGGAAAUCUGACAGGCCAAGGUCGUAUAAAGAAGCAAAGAAAGAAAUCAGACUUCUGAAUAUUCCUUUGGAAUAGAGUUUCUGUUAGCACUGGGAAUAUUGCCUUUUUCUCCCAGAUCACCUCUCUCUCUCUCUCUGUCUCUCUGUCUCUGUCUCUGUCUCUGUCUCUGUC